RNAcentral lists this transfer RNA (223 nucleotides) under Marmota monax (woodchuck). RNAcentral describes it as "tRNA.Ala". The record is from RNAcentral. Lineage: Eukaryota; Metazoa; Chordata; Mammalia; Rodentia; Sciuridae.
GGGGAUGUGGCUCAGUGGUAGAGCACUCACCUAGCAUGUGCGAGGCCCUGGGUUCAAUAAAAAUUGAACCACAUAAAAAUAAAUAAAUAAAUAAAGUUAUUGUGACCAAAUACAACUAAAAAAUAAAUAUAAAAAAAAAAAGCAGAGGCUGGGGAUGUGGCUUCAAGUGGUAACGUGCUUGCCUGGUAUGCGUGAGGCACUGGGUUCGAUUCUCAGCACCACA